UACAGAGGGUGCGAGCGUUGUUCGGAAUUAUUGGGCGUAAAGAGCUCGUAGGCGGCUUGGCAAGUCGGGUGUGAAACCUCCAGGCUCAACCUGGAGACGCCACUCGAUACUGCCAUGGCUAGAGUCCGGUAGGGGACCACGGAAUUCCUGGUGUAGCGGUGAAAUGCGCAGAUAUCAGGAGGAACACCGGUGGCGAAGGCGGUGGUCUGGGCCGGCACUGACGCUGAGGAGCGAAAGCGUGGGUAGCAAACAGG
This 254-nucleotide ribosomal RNA is filed under the name uncultured bacterium. RNAcentral's name for it is "partial 16S ribosomal RNA". It matches the Rfam family "Bacterial small subunit ribosomal RNA", at positions 524 to 776 of the family's 1533-position model. The record is from RNAcentral.